This 79-nucleotide transfer RNA is filed under the name Promethearchaeota archaeon. Its description in RNAcentral is "Candidatus Lokiarchaeota archaeon (marine sediment metagenome) tRNA-Ala". Lineage: Archaea; Promethearchaeati; Promethearchaeota. RNAcentral also lists the same sequence under 1 other name. The record is from RNAcentral.
GGGCCGGUAACUCAGCCUGGAAUGAGUGCCUCGCUUGCAACGAGGAUGUCGCGGGAUCGAAGCCCGCCCGAGUCCACCA